UUAAGACUCAUUAACAUAUACAUUUUCUCCUUACAACUAGAUUGCUUGGUUAUGAAGGGGUAGAAGUUAUAAAUCCAGAAGGUGGCAAGGAAGAUGCUGAAGAGGAAGCUCAGAGAGGAAGAUGGCAACAGGAGGAACGUGAUAGUUAUUGGAAGAUGAUGCAAAAAUAUAUUGGUUCUGAUGUCACGUCAAUGGUGACACUACCUGUCCUUAUAUUUGAGCCAAUGACAAUGCUUCAAAAAAUGGCAGAGUUAAUGGAAUAUUCGUACCUUUUGGAUCAAGCAGAUGAAUGUGAGGAUCCCUACAUGCGGCUGGUGUAUGCAUGUGAGUAUAGAUUGUCAGCACUUCAAUGAUGGG
Long non-coding RNA from Olea europaea var. sylvestris, 357 nucleotides. RefSeq lists it as uncharacterized. Lineage: Eukaryota; Viridiplantae; Streptophyta; Magnoliopsida; Lamiales; Oleaceae. The transcript is spliced from 3 exons. The record is from RefSeq and is a predicted model, not a curated record.